Cucurbita maxima (winter squash) is the source of this 1149-nucleotide long non-coding RNA. RefSeq lists it as uncharacterized. The record is from RefSeq and is a predicted model, not a curated record. The transcript is spliced from 2 exons. NCBI's taxonomy places the organism in Eukaryota, Viridiplantae, Streptophyta, Magnoliopsida, Cucurbitales, Cucurbitaceae.
UCAUUAUGUUCAGACUUCACUUACCCAUUUGUCCAGAUGGAGUUAACUGUAGGCGGCGGAUUUCCUGUCAAGAGGGCUGCAUAGGCCGAAAAUAUUGAAGUUUGUGACAUGAAAAAUUGAAAGAGGUCUAGGUUCGUGUGAUUGACGUGGGAGCCUGCGUCAGCUUCUAUCAUUGUUCUAUCUGCUUCGAAAUACCACUCAAAGAAAUGGCGUCAUUUCAACACGAAUCUUCCAUCAUAGACCAGAAAUUGAAUACUAAAUGCAAAACUUUUGUUGGCUUAUGCAACCUUUAAUUGGAAUGGGGUGAUGCAGAAAAGGCCAAGAGGGGGUUUUAAACAAUAUCACCACUUUCAAUUAUGCUUUCCAGAUGCAUCAUCAAUAGGCCAAAACCUCGCCCUCAGCGUUCAUCUUCUUGACCCCUCCCUUCUAGUUAUGGCCUCUAUAACAAAUUCCCCCACUACUAAAAGCCAUUCCUACAGAUGUGCCCAAUACUAACAACCGAAUUUGAAGCUUAUAAGCACCACCCGGGGAAGUGGAUACGACUAACCACAAAAUUCAAGCUUAUAAGCACCACCUUCACAACCAUUAUUGCAUCGCAGACAUCAUUAUAAGGAGACAAAAUAAUGUAGCUAGGGUGCAACCGCAGUGCAAGAUGGGCCAUUGCCGGAGAGCCCGAACCAUAUGGCACCUGGUUGACGUGCAUCUGUCCACGGCUUUGGGAGCGGUAAAUUUCCCGCCAAAAGCAGGGAGUUUUAGGCAUUUGGAGAAUUUGAAGACGAGGAAACAGUUGGAAUUAGGAUGUCGAUAGGUCCAAUGCUUCUUAAACCAAAACACCCUUUUCAUAAUCACUAAACGACGAUCCCAAUUCAUUAUCCAGUUCUCCGUGUGCAAAUAGAUUGGGGAGUGAUUCUCACGACUAUGAAUUUGCUCCAAUGGAGAAAAGUUCAACUUCAGAGUUGUAUCUCUGUCAUUGUUUUAGUCGAACUAUGUCCUAAUCCGUCGUAAUCACUCUCUCUAUCUUUGUGUUGUUCGUUAAGUAGUCCAGGAUCAACUUCAAUUGGAGGUCAGUUCAUUGCGUCAGAUGUAUGAUUGUUUCUCAGACUAAUAUUCGUUGAUAUUUUCGCUCUAUGUAAUUGUAGCAGUUAUAUA